ACUCAUUUGCCUAGCUAACAGACGCUGCUUGCCCAACUAGAGGAAAAACAACAACCUUCCCAAGUUAAGUGAGCUAGCUCACUCAGCUUCUGGAACUCUCGGGAAAAAACCCGAAAUACUUGCCCAACGAGCCCCUCCACUCACCGAAUGAGAGACAAAAUAACAAGCUCCCUAAGCUAAGCGAGCUGCCUUGCCCAACCUUUGGAGCUCACUGCUAGAACUCCCCUACACUCGCCCAACUUGCCAAUUAUGCUCGCCCAGCCGGACUGCAUAAUUCUGCAACACUAAAAUUGUAAAAUUAACACUUGUAAACCACCCAUGACCUCUACUAACCACUUUUACCAACUUCUAACACUCCUAGAUUGAAUUAUAAACUAUUUUAGACCUAAACAAAAACGUAUAACCUAUCUUAAACAAAUAAUCCACUAAUUACAAUAAUGCAUUCACUAAAAAACAACUAGAUUAUCAACUUAGAGAUCAAAAUUGAAAUCUACAUGUCCUAGCUCAUUUUUAAGUAGUUUAGGGACUCUAGCAAGUCAGAAUUGAGUUACCAAUAACCUCUAAACUGACCAAUUUUUCCCAUAACCUAUAACUCAAAAUCUCACCACUCCAAACCCUCAAAAAUGCUCUUCAAACCAAAUAAACCACCCCCAAAGUAUUACUACCUCUUUUCUAAAAUAGAUUUCAACCAUUUUUCAACUCUAACAACCCUUAAUUCACAUCUAAACAGAUUCUAAGAUUUCAUCUUCUCCUUCUAGCCCUUAACUUAAGAACUCACACACCAAAACUGCAAGAUUGAUCAAUAAUAAUUACAACUCAACCUAGUUUAAUUCCCUUCCACAUUAAAUCAAAUUCAACACCAUCAAACACCUCAACCACACAAUUUAUCAUAUAUUUAGAGUUUCAUACAAAAUAAUUCAACAUCAACAAUCAUCAUGUGAUCAAAUUCACUUACUCAACAAAAAAAAAUUCACAUUACUAACAUUUUAAUCAUAAACACCUAAUAUCUACAACUACACAUCCUAAGCACUAUCAAUUCAUACUUUAUAAAUUUUACAUAGAACAAGAACUAGCUUCCCUUACUUACAUUGAAACUAACAAGCUCUAGAACGUACACCCUUUGCUUCUUGCAGAAGAAACUCUUGAAACACCUAUAAAUCACCAAAUUGUGAUAGGAAAGAGUCCUUAGGACCACAUAUUAACAAAUAACCAAGAAAGGAACAUCAUUGAUACAUGCAAUAGGGGUUUCCUAAGCAUGAU
RNAcentral lists this long non-coding RNA (1260 nucleotides) under Vigna radiata. Its description in RNAcentral is "long non-coding RNA (VRAD_LNC013764)". The record is from RNAcentral. Lineage: Eukaryota; Viridiplantae; Streptophyta; Magnoliopsida; Fabales; Fabaceae.